AGUCGUAACAAGGUAUCCGUAGGUGAACCUGCGGAUGGAUCAUUAACAAAGGUGUUUUUGAAGUUGUGUGAACAGUUGGAGGAGGUGGUGGUGGUGGUGGUACUGGGUGGUAUUGGGUGGUAUUGGGUGGUAUUGAGUGGUGUAACCUUGGUCUAACCUUGGUCAACCUCACUCAACCUCACUCAACCUCACUCUCCCAACCUCACUCUCCCAACCUCCACCACUCCGUCCCUAUAAUGUAAUGUAUACAAACUGAUGUCUGCUAGUUUCAAACUAAAACAACUUUUAGCAACGGAUCUCUUGGCUCUC
This 309-nucleotide unclassified non-coding RNA is filed under the name fungal sp. RNAcentral describes it as "partial internal transcribed spacer region". The stretch from base 1 to 45 matches the Rfam family "Eukaryotic small subunit ribosomal RNA", at positions 1787 to 1831 of the family's 1831-position model. The record is from RNAcentral. Lineage: Eukaryota; Fungi.